This 313-nucleotide long non-coding RNA is filed under the name Androctonus crassicauda. Lineage: Eukaryota; Metazoa; Arthropoda; Arachnida; Scorpiones; Buthidae. The record is from RNAcentral.
AUACUCUUUACUUAAUGACUGCUGUUGUUAAGUGAUGUGCUAUUCUGCUAAAAAGUAAUAUAAUUGAUGACAUACCAGUAGUGGAAGAUAUGUUGUUUAAUAUGGAUGAGCUGGAAAGAGAAAGAAUGAGAUCGCCAUAUAUAAACCAAAGAAUGAUCAGCAAACAUAACAAAAGGGAGAAAUUUAAUGCAAGUGAUACACACCACCUUAGAAAAACCAUAGCUUGGCUCAACAAUAGCAAUCUAAUGAUAAUGAGAGAGGACAAGACAAGGAAGAUGAUCCUAAUAGAUAAAAAAUUUUUAUGAUUCUUUCC